This 771-nucleotide long non-coding RNA is filed under the name Setaria viridis. Its description in RNAcentral is "long non-coding RNA (SVIR_LNC005587)". Lineage: Eukaryota; Viridiplantae; Streptophyta; Magnoliopsida; Poales; Poaceae. The record is from RNAcentral.
GGAGAGAGACGGACACGACGUACCACCCGAUCGAAGAUAGCCUCACCGAUAUAUUGGCCAUAGGCACGUCUGUCCCACCCCCGCACAUUUCUGUUGUAGGGGCCUGUUUGCAAAAGAGAAAUGGCAAAAAAUGGGAUACUGAAAACUAGAGAAACAUAGGAAUGGAGAUUUUAUGCUGUUUGGAACUCAGGAAUUGCACCAUGCUGUCAUGUCCCAAAACAAACAAAUUAAAACAUUUUCAUUUGAACACAAUGUGUUUAUCAAUUUGUUAUUUUGACGGAUGAUUUUGGUGCUUAUUUAUCGGUCAUUUGGCACUUUCUUAUUUCAUAUUCCCGUUUCAAAUUAUAGGUUAUUUUGACUUUUCUAGAUUCAUAAUAUUUAUUAUGUAUCUAGACAGAAGCAUAUAUCUAGGUGCAUAGUUAAAAGUCAAAACGACCUAUAUAAAUUGGGACAUAAGGAAUAAUUAUGUCUACUCACCUUAUACCGGUGCAUAUAUAGCAGGAGCCCACAAUAUAAUUAUCUUCCCUCUUCCAAACUCCCACGACCAGCGCCUUUAUAUCACGUCAUCUUCUUCGACAUCCGUCCCUCUUCUGAGGCCGUCCAUUCCAUCCCCCUCUCUGUCGUAAAAAAACACUAUGGCCAAAUCAUCAGCAUCCGGCCAUAUUUUUUAUAGCUGGUGGCUAAUCAUCUGCUCUCCACCCUCUCUACUGUAUCCAUUCACUGGAUGGCAGCAUACUUGCCCAAAUCGAAAAUCGAAAGCUACAAGAUGGG